Molecule: ribosomal RNA, 274 nt
Filed under: uncultured bacterium
Lineage: Bacteria
Description: partial 16S ribosomal RNA
Rfam family: Bacterial small subunit ribosomal RNA
Source: RNAcentral
AUACGGAGGGUGCAAGCGUUACUCGGAAUCACUGGGCGUAAAGCGCGCGCAGGCGGUCUUUUAGGUUGGAUGUGAAAGCCUACGGCUCAACCGUAGAACUGCAUCCAAAACUAUUAGACUAGAGUGUGGGAGAGGAAGAUGGAAUUAGUUGUGUAGGGGUAAAAUCCGUAGAGAUAACUAGGAAUACCAAAAGCGAAGGCAAUCUUCUGGAACACUACUGACGCUGAGGCGCGAAAGCGUGGGGAGCAAACAGGAUUAGAAACCCUAGUAGUCC